Molecule: ribosomal RNA, 409 nt
Filed under: Sistrurus miliarius (pigmy rattlesnake)
Lineage: Eukaryota; Metazoa; Chordata; Lepidosauria; Squamata; Viperidae
Description: partial 12S small subunit ribosomal RNA
Source: RNAcentral
GCCUAGCCGUAACAUACAAUUAAACUACCAAUUGUCCGCCAAACAACUACGAGUUGCACUUAAAACUUAAAAGACUUGACGGUGCUUCACCACACCCUAGAGGAGCCUGUCUAGUAACCGAUAACCCACGAUUAACCCAACCCCCCCUAGCCUGACAGUCUAUAUACCGCCGUCGCCAGCUUACCUUGUAAAAGAAAUAAAGUGAGCUAAAUAGUAUACCACUAAAACGACAGGUCGAGGUGUAACUAAUGGGAGGGAUUAAGAUGGGCUACAUUCUCCUUUCUGAGAAACGAACAAUACUAUGAAACUAGUAUUUAAAGACGGAUUUAGCAGUAAGAUAAGAAUAAAAUACUUAACUGAACAUAACGCAAUGAAGUGCGUACACACCGCCCGUCACCCCUGCUACCAC